AACGAACGCUGGCGGCAGGCCUAACACAUGCAAGUCGAGCGAGGACUUCGGUUCUAGCGGCGGACGGGUGAGUAACGCGUGGGAAUGUGCCCUUCUCUACGGAAUAGCCCUGGGAAACUGGGAGUAAUACCGUAUACGCCCUAUUGGGGAAAGAUUUAUCGGAGCAGGAUCAGCCCGCGUUGGAUUAGGUAGUUGGUGGGGUAAUGGCCUACCAAGCCGACGAUCCAUAGCUGGUUUGAGAGGAUGAUCAGCCACACUGGGACUGAGACACGGCCCAGACUCCUACGGGAGGCAGCAGUGGGGAAUCUUAGACAAUGGGGGCAACCCUGAUCUAGCCAUGCCGCGUGAGUGAUGAAGGCCUUAGGGUUGUAAAGCUCUUUCAGCUGGGAAGAUAAUGACGGUACCAGCAGAAGAAGCCCCGGCUAACUCCGUG
This 433-nucleotide ribosomal RNA is filed under the name uncultured bacterium. Its description in RNAcentral is "partial 16S ribosomal RNA". It matches the Rfam family "Bacterial small subunit ribosomal RNA", at positions 29 to 507 of the family's 1533-position model. The record is from RNAcentral.